GCAAACAUAAACAAGCUUAGCCAUGGCC
RNAcentral lists this small RNA (28 nucleotides) under Bombyx mori (domestic silkworm). Its description in RNAcentral is "ovarian small RNA-5223". Lineage: Eukaryota; Metazoa; Arthropoda; Insecta; Lepidoptera; Bombycidae. The record is from RNAcentral.